RNAcentral lists this ribosomal RNA (672 nucleotides) under Adrianichthys oophorus. RNAcentral's name for it is "partial 12S ribosomal RNA". The record is from RNAcentral. Lineage: Eukaryota; Metazoa; Chordata; Actinopteri; Beloniformes; Adrianichthyidae.
ACUUCACCAUCGGUUACGACUUCCUCCCCUUGGGCCUAUGUUUGUUUUAUUUAUUCACAGUUUAUCGGGUGGGGAGAGUGACGGGCGGUGUGUGCGCGCUUCACGGGCCAGUUUCAGCAAAACACUCUAUUUUUUGCUUACUGCUAAAUCCUCCUUCUAAUACUCUUUUCAUAAUAUUGUUCGUGUGCCUUAAAAAGGAAUGUAGCCAUUUCUUCCCCUCUCAUAUGCUACACCUCGACCUGACGUUUUUAGUAUUACUGUUUUUGCUUACUAUUAACCCUUCACAGGGUAAGCUGACGACGGCGGUAUAUAGGCGGGAGAGACUAGAGAGGGUGUAGGUUUAACGGGGGGUAUCGGUUCUAGAACAGGCUCCUCUAGGUGGGUCUAAAGCACCGCCAAGUCCUUUGGGUUUUAGGCUAAUGCUCGUAGUUCCCAGGCGGAUGAUAAUGUAGGGUUCAUCAAAGUUUAUGGCUACGCAUAGUGGGGUAUCUAAUCCCAGUUUGUUUCGUGGCUUUCGUGGGGUCAUCUUAUUAAAGCUACUUUCGUUAACGAGCUUCUUAUCUCCGAGUGCGUAUAACAGCUUUGGGGAUAUUUGACUUUAGUCUCUUUCUAGUCUAACCACCUCUUUACGCCGAUGAAUAUCAGCUCGAGCCUCUCGUAUAACCGCGGUGG